RNAcentral lists this ribosomal RNA (717 nucleotides) under Bacillus sp. (in: firmicutes). RNAcentral describes it as "bacterial SSU rRNA". It matches the Rfam family "Bacterial small subunit ribosomal RNA", at positions 35 to 735 of the family's 1533-position model. The record is from RNAcentral. Lineage: Bacteria; Bacillati; Bacillota; Bacilli; Caryophanales; Bacillaceae.
GUUGAAUGCGGGUGCUAUACAUGCAAGUCGAGCGGACGGAUGGGAGCUUGCUCCCUGAAGUCAGCGGCGGACGGGUGAGUAACACGUGGGCAACCUGCCUGUAAGACUGGGAUAACUUCGGGAAACCGGAGCUAAUACCGGAUAAUGCAUUUCCCCUCAUGGGGAUAUGCUGAAAGAUGGUUUCGGCUAUCACUUACAGAUGGGCCCGCGGCGCAUUAGCUAGUUGGUGAGGUAACGGCUCACCAAGGCAACGAUGCGUAGCCGACCUGAGAGGGUGAUCGGCCACACUGGGACUGAGACACGGCCCAGACUCCUACGGGAGGCAGCAGUAGGGAAUCUUCCGCAAUGGACGAAAGUCUGACGGAGCAACGCCGCGUGAGUGAUGAAGGUUUUCGGAUCGUAAAACUCUGUUGUCAGGGAAGAACAAGUGCCGGAGUAACUGCCGGCACCUUGACGGUACCUGACCAGAAAGCCACGGCUAACUACGUGCCAGCAGCCGCGGUAAUACGUAGGUGGCAAGCGUUGUCCGGAAUUAUUGGGCGUAAAGCGCGCGCAGGCGGUCUCUUAAGUCUGAUGUGAAAGCCCACGGCUCAACCGUGGAGGGUCAUUGGAAACUGGGGGACUUGAGUGCAGAAGAGGAAAGUGGAAUUCCACGUGUAGCGGUGAAAUGCGUAGAGAUGUGGAGGAACACCAGUGGCGAAGGCGACUUUCUGGUCU